Molecule: long non-coding RNA, 1821 nt
Filed under: Arabidopsis thaliana (thale cress)
Lineage: Eukaryota; Viridiplantae; Streptophyta; Magnoliopsida; Brassicales; Brassicaceae
Description: long non-coding RNA (ATHA_LNC000349)
Source: RNAcentral
AAUGCUAUAUAAAGCCAUGCACAGGUAAUGUAGAAUGACAAAACAAAGCAAACAACAAAACCAACGCAGUGAGGCGUUGGACAAGCAAUCAAAAUAAGAAUGAUAUCUUCUCCAGGGAUGGGGCGUUCUGCCCAUCUUGUUUAUGCUCUUGGUUUUAUUAUCAUGGCCACAAUGGUUGCUGCGUCUUAUGAGCCCUACACGUAUAGCUCACCACCACCACCAUUGUAUGACUCUCCUACACCAAAGGUUGACUAUAAGUCUCCACCACCUCCAUACGUUUACAGUUCUCCACCACCUCCACUAUCGUAUUCGCCAUCUCCCAAGGUAGACUACAAGUCUCCACCACCUCCAUAUGUUUACAGCUCUCCACCACCACCAUAUUACUCACCAUCCCCUAAAGUCGAAUACAAAUCCCCACCACCUCCAUAUGUUUAUAGUUCUCCACCACCACCAUAUUACUCACCCUCACCUAAAGUAGAUUACAAGUCUCCACCACCACCGUAUGUUUACAGCUCCCCACCACCACCAUACUAUUCACCUUCUCCAAAGCCCACAUACAAAUCACCACCACCUCCAUAUGUUUACAAUUCUCCACCACCACCAUACUACUCACCAUCCCCUAAGGUCGAAUACAAAUCUCCACCACCUCCAUACGUCUAUAGCUCUCCACCCCCACCAUACUACUCACCCUCACCUAAAGUAGAUUAUAAGUCUCCACCACCACCGUAUGUUUACAACUCUCCACCACCACCAUACUAUUCACCUUCUCCAAAACCCACAUACAAGUCCCCACCACCACCAUAUAUUUACAGCUCUCCACCACCACCAUACUAUUCUCCUUCUCCUAAACCAGUAUACAAAUCUCCACCACCACCAUACGUCUAUUCCUCUCCACCACCACCAUACUAUUCACCUUCUCCUAAACCAGCAUACAAAUCUCCACCACCACCGUAUGUUUAUAGCUCUCCACCUCCUCCAUACUACUCGCCUUCUCCUAAACCCAUAUACAAGUCUCCACCACCACCGUACGUCUACAACUCUCCUCCACCACCAUACUACUCUCCUUCUCCAAAACCGGCAUACAAAUCUCCACCACCACCAUACGUAUACAGCUUUCCACCUCCUCCAUACUACUCGCCUUCUCCUAAACCCGUAUACAAGUCUCCACCACCACCAUACGUCUACAACUCUCCUCCACCACCAUACUACUCUCCUUCUCCAAAACCGGCAUACAAAUCUCCACCACCACCAUACGUAUACAGCUCUCCACCACCACCAUACUACUCGCCUUCUCCUAAACCAACAUACAAAUCUCCACCACCACCAUAUGUUUAUAGCUCUCCACCUCCUCCAUACUACUCGCCUUCUCCUAAACCCGUAUACAAGUCUCCACCACCACCGUACAUCUACAACUCUCCACCACCACCAUACUACUCCCCUUCACCUAAACCAUCAUACAAAUCCCCACCACCACCAUAUGUUUACAGCUCUCCACCACCACCAUAUUACUCGCCUUCUCCUAAGCUUACAUACAAAUCCUCACCACCACCCUAUGUUUACAGCUCUCCACCACCACCAUAUUACUCUCCUUCUCCUAAGGUUGUAUACAAAUCUCCACCACCACCAUAUGUUUACAGCUCUCCACCACCACCAUACUACUCCCCUUCACCUAAACCAUCAUACAAAUCCCCACCACCACCGUACGUCUAUAACUCUCCACCUCCUCCUUACUACUCUCCUUCACCUAAGGUCAUAUACAAAUCGCCACCACACCCACAUGUAUGUGUUUGUCCCCCACCUCCACCAUGCUACUCUCAUUCU